This 211-nucleotide long non-coding RNA is filed under the name Musa acuminata (dwarf banana). RNAcentral describes it as "long non-coding RNA (MACU_LNC011568)". Lineage: Eukaryota; Viridiplantae; Streptophyta; Magnoliopsida; Zingiberales; Musaceae. The record is from RNAcentral.
CCUCAAGCCAAAAAGAGAACAUCAAAGAAGAAGGCGCUCAAGGCAACGUGGGAUGAUUCAAGCGCGUCCGAAGAAGAGGAGUCCAACACCGAGCAAGUUGCUCAUUAUGCCCUAAUGGCCAUCGGAGAAGAGGUAAUGGAUUUAAUUAAUGCAGAUUUACCUUAUCAUGAAUUAUUAAAUGCUUUCCAUGAGUUAUUUGAUGAAUGUAAGA